GCUGGGCAGGCACUCAAUCUUUGUCCCAGUUAUGGGGAUUACAGGCAUUGCCACCUGUAAUGUAAACAUAUUUGUGCCUGUUUUUGUGUGCACAGCUGCAUUUGUCCCUCUUCCUAAGCACUGGAUAAAGAAACCAAACUAAAUCAAGUCAUUUCAUUGGUAACCAAGAAGACCUUUGAACUCAGAUUCAAUCUGUUCUGUUUUUUAAUUUCCAGGCUGGCCUGGAACUUAGUAUAUAGCCCAGGCUAGCCUUGAGCUCAGGAUCUAAGAAGUUUAAGAAGUGUUGGCAUAUCUGGUUUCUACCACUGUACCCUGCAGUCUCUCACGGUGAACGUGCAUAUGUCAUUUCACUGUAGUAAUAUGUAUCUGGUAAAGACCUUACCUUAUUUGCAUUGCAGUAUUUAAGAGCCUUAACAUAGUAAAUGUGCACAGUGUUAACUGUCUUGUUCAUAUCCUCAUGUCCACAGUUGUGCCUUUUAGAUCAGGACUCCUGUCCUUAGCAAAGCAAAGAGGCUCACUAAUAUAAAUAAAGCCUCUUUCAUGGGACUAUAGAUUGAAACAAUUCCAAUAUGGUCAAUGGUCCUUCAAGGUAAGACUUCUGUCCCUGAUCAUGCAGAUCCUCUUUGCUAUGUAUGUGCUGUUCACUUGAAACUCCUUUCUCAAACUAUUUAUGUACAUACUGGCAAUUUUAGUAGGAUCAAUUUUACUCUUAACUUUGAAGUACCGAAGUGGUGUUGACCUAUAAGGUCCCAUUUUGUGGCUUGCUAAUAAUGACUGAUUGGAGUAGUCCUUUUCUCUUCACUACAGAAGGAAAUCUGAACAGCAUAAAACUGUAAUGGCCACAAGCAUGUACCUUGCAUAUUAGUGUGCAUUUACUGCACGCGUCUCAUUCCAUUUGGAUAUGAUCCUACUCUCAAACCCUUUUGCAGUACAGCAAGGGUUCACUAAUCUUUUGGCUUCAUCUUCCUGGACACUGGAUAAGGAUAUCCCCUCCUUUCCACUCUUUAAUUUCCAGGACUAUUACUUUAAAGACUUAAUAUUUGCAUAAAAGAUGGGGUUUUAAUUGACCAGAUGUCCCUUGAACAUUAAUGUACAUAACAGGGACGUGAUCCAUUCAUUUUAAUAAAAAUACUUGGCCAGUUAAUGUAAAAUUACAAUUAUCCACAACCUUAUUACUUUUCGGACCAUUGUAUCUCUUUUGCACUACAGCAAGGGAUACUGUUUAUAUCCCCAAGGUCCCUCCUAGUGGACCAUUAAUAUACAGUGAAUUUUCCUUUGUCUUUGCCAGUAAACAAAGGUCAUGCUCCUCCUUUCAUUUGCAGUAUAUCAGGAUAUGCUGAUCAACAAGGCUGCAUUCUUUUGGACUGUUAUAUAUUAAAAGUAUGCAUAUGCAUUGCCUCCUGCUCUGUGCACUAGAAAAGGAUCCCACUUACUUCCUUCAGCAGGAAGUGAUAAUAAGCUCAAGACUUUCAUUUGGAAAGUUCACAUGAACAAUAUCUAAGCACUUCUAUAAGAACUAUUGUACCCUCUUCCCCGCUUUAAAGCAGAAAGAGGGUUUUACGAAGUGCUCUUCUUUUGGACUUAAGUGCAUUACCUUUGGAGUCGGAUUUUACAUCCUUGUACUCCUUUGACACCAGAGGCACGUUAAUUAUUUCUGAGCACUUCUCUUGUCAAUAUUAAUCUGUACCCUUACACAUAUGACCUGUACGGCAGAAAAGGUUCUGAAAUACCUACCUUUUGACUGGGGCUGCUGAGCAGUAGUAACUAUUAAUAACCUCAGCAUUUGGAUGAUUACUGUGCAAAAAUGUCAAGGACCUGUGUGCUCUCUUUGCAUACCAUCAAGGCUACUGAGUCCCAGAAUUGCUAGUAUGCAUAUUUAUAACUAUGAAUGUCUGGAAUAUUAUGUCCUCAUAACCCCUCUUUACAUUAUUGCAGAGGUUGCUCAGUUACCUAAAAUACUCAGCACUGUCAGUGAGCACAGGGACUCUGACGAAUGACUUGCUUUCUUCCUUAAACUUAUUUUGGGGCUAUUAAUAGGCACAAUGGCAGUUCUGGAUGGCUUAUUUUCUACUCCCAACUUGAGAAAAUCCCCUCUUCUUGUUUCCCAAUGAUAUAAUAAAGUACAGCAGUAUGUACACCCAACAAUGACCCAUAUUUUCUACCCUUUUUGCAUUGCUUUAGUAUAUAAAAUCCUAAAUUGUCACAAUCUCACACUUUGUACUGUGUUCCUUUUGCCCAGCCCCUAGUUUGUCCAUUGACCACUCUUCUGAAUCACUAAUUCUCACAAACCCAUCAUUAAGGAAGAGUUUGUGCCCUUUCCCGAUUCCAUCACUCCAUCCCUUUUAAGCCUCUUUGAACAGUAUUGAUUGGGCAAAGCCCUUCUCUUGACUUAAAGUCGACAACACCAGUUUACUCACUUCAUAUGGCUACAGUGUCUCAGUUGCCUUCUCCUUGGUCCCAGUGAACAGAGACACCUCGACUUCUUGCAUUAUUCUGGUAAUAUUAAUUACCCCAAACACCCUAUGUGUCGUUAAUAACUUUUGGUGUAUUUAUACACUGACUAGCAAAAGCAGGCCAAAACUAGGUGGAUGAGCCUUCAAUCUUUAACUUGCAUUUCUAAAUUACUCUAAUUCUAACUCCUGGCACAUUCUAGGUCCAGGAACCAUUCUUGCCUACCUUUAUUAAUGCUUUAUUGUGCAAAAUAGUGUAGGCAAGUAGCUUAGGGAGUUGGAUUGCCACCUUUUAUUUGGGGCUUUCCUUUACAGUAUGAACUGAAAAUUGUCUUCCUGAGAAGGAAGCUUAGCACUUUUCUUCCUCCAGGAGCCAACUGUCUGCUUAAGAAACUUUAAACCUGAUUUUGUAUAUUGCUACUGUACAGGACCAACUGCCAGAAAAGUUAUUGAUAAUUUUAUUCCUUAAGAAAGGCAUUUGGAUUGCAAGGUGGAUUGAUUGUGAGAUUAGCUUUUGUGAAGUAAAAAUAGCCAUUUGCGCAUUGUUUCUGAUGACUAAGCAGUGUCUCUGUACUGAGGGUGGUGAGUCUGUGGAAAGAUCACUGCAACUGUUGCAGAAUGUUUAAGACAAGUAUCUUUGCUUGGUCCUUACUACAAGUUUAACAAAAUGAAAAUCAAUCUUUGUGUGGCCUUUAGUAUGAUUAACUUUAAGGAAGACGAACUAAACCUUCUAAUCUUUAUAUUUUGUCUGACGUAAUAAUCACCAGCCCCUGCUUAUUUUUAAAAGGUGGCUGUGGACAGAUUAAAUUCGAGAUCGUCAAGUCGCCUUUGAAAAUUAUAGGCCAUCACAUUUAAUUAAUUCAUUCUGUCCAUCAUUAAAUUCUGGCAGUAAUUUGAGGUAGCUUGAAAAGAACCACCCUAAAGUGGGAAUUUAUUUUAGAGAUGAUGGAACCUGUUUCCCCACUUUACAUUUUAAAAUAUGUAUGCCAGGACCUAAUCAUUCCUUUAAAUGUACACUUCAAAGGGAGAUCUGCCUAGUAAGAAAAGAGCUUUCUCUAGUGUGAAGGGUGCUUUGUGGCCGCCGAGUACUUAGUCUUUUUUGGGAAGCUGUUGUGUAUGAGUGUGUGUAUGUGUGUGCAUGCAUGUCCCUGCGCGUAUUCAUUCGUUCACAUGGUGAUCAGACAACAAUGGAAGCUGCUUCAUCUAUCUUGUGGGUCCUGGAGAUUAAACUCAGAUCAUCAGGCUUGGCAGCAAGUGCCCUUACCCUCCGUGCCAUCUUGCCAUCCCGCUGCUGAGUGUUUGAUAUGACAUUGCUGAUGAAAAUAGUAAUCACAAGAGCAGUUCUCCGGCAUUACUGAAAAAAAAAAAAGAUACUAUUUUUCUGAGAAGGAUGUUCAAGGAACUCAUCCAGUGCAGGAUCCAGGUUGAACUACUGCUCCUCAGUUCCAUCAGACUCUGGCUGUUUAGACUACAGGAUGAAUUUGGAGUCUGUUUUGUGCCCCUGCCUCAAGAAGAAGGAUUGCCUGUAUUUAGAGGAGUGAAGAGUGCUGGAGAGAGCCCAAAGGGACAAUCCCUACGCGAGACUCAAGGACUGCCAGCAGCCGAUACAGCUAUAUUACAUCUCAGCAGAUCUUCUCUUCAAGUCCUCGCUACUCUGAACAAAAAGGUUACAGGCCACAUGGAGAAAAAAAAGAUCUCCCCCCGAGAAGUAUGGGCUUGUUGCUUUGCAGUGCUGGUGACCUAUUCCCUUUGACGAUCCCUAGGUGGAGAUGGGGCAUGAGGAUCCUCCAGGGGAAUGGCUCACCACCACUAGGCAACAGGCCUAGCCCAGAUUUCAAUGAGACACUUUCUCGAAUCCAGCAAGAUAGACAAAGGCUCAAAGAAUGCCACCCUACAUCAAAAUAGGAGAAAAGCUGCUACAAUAGUGGCACUGACCUUCUGAGGAAGCCAUUCUGCUCUAUUUGGUUCUCUCCCCAGAAUCUAGGAGAACUUUGCCAGCUAUUUACAUACUUCAAGAUGUACUGUGCUACCCUACUCAUGCCAUAUAUAAGACACAAUGUCAUCUACCAAACAUUACCCUUCCCCAAAGCAGCACAGAAAACUGGGUCUUCAGCACGAUCAAGAAAUGUGAACACACAGAAGGAAGGAAGCUUUAUAUACGACCCGAAGAUCCACAUGCCUGACUGCAGCAUCUUAAAAGCAAUAGAAUGAGUGUGUAUUGUGUUGUGUGCCUAUUUCUUGUUUUAUGUAUCUAUUUCUAACUUGCUUUGUGAGUCUACUUCUUCCUUGUGUUGUGUCUAAUUCUUUGUUACAUCUAUUUCUUCCUUGCUUUGUGUGUCUAUUUCUUCCUUCCUUUGUGUGUGUCUUUCUUCCUUGCUUUGUGUGUCUAUUUCUUCCUUGUUAUAUGUAUUUACUUCUUUGUGUGUCUAAUUCUUUGUUACAUCUAUUCCUUCCUUCCUUUGCAUGGCUUCCUUCCUCUGUGUGUCUUUUCUGUCCUGCAGUGUGUCUUACCUAUUCCCAUGUUUCUCUUGCAUGUUCUUUCUUGCAGAGCUUUGAGCUUUGUUUCACUUUCUCUGGUGCCUGUGUGAUCUGCCUUGUCUUGACUAGCUAUGGCUCUCUGUUUUAUCUAUCUGGUUGCUAUUUCUCUUAGCUCUUCUUUCACUCCUGCCUUUCAUGACUCGCCUUUGGGUCACAUGUUGUAUACGUCCCUCUCUCUUUCUUGUGCUCACCCCACUUGUUCUUUGUUCGAGUUCUCUUUGUCAGCCCAUUUCAGUCUUCUUUCUGCUGUUUCUAUCCUUAGUGAGUUCUUGUUUACAUUUCUUUCCUGCCUUUCUUGGGCCACUUUCUGUUUUCUUUUGUAUUUGUGUAUCUUUGCUUUUGGUGAUUUAUCUCAGCACCAUUCUGUUGCUUGUGUUUCUACUUCCUCCCUUCUGCUCACUUUGAGCAUCUCAGUCUCUUUACAAGUCUGUGUCUCUCUUGUAUUCUAAAGUAAUUCUUUCCUGGAUAUUUCUUUGUAUGUACAUGUGUAUGUGUGUGUGUGUGUGUGUGUGUCAUGUGUGACAGGGGCUUCAUAGCCCCUUCCCAAUAGGUCCAGAAUGUCACCUGUGGAGCCAUUCCUCACACCAGACUGCCCUGAGAAAUAAUCUAAGACAAAAUACAUCAUUCCAUCCGGUCAGGAUUCAAGUGGAUCUGAAGUGAACGCCCAAGUAGAAGACAAAAGUUAAAAGGACCAAAAUACACAGAUGGCCCGUCUUGAGCUGGCUGGACAGAAUGCUGACAACCCAAAGAAGAGGGACUGUUUCUAUAGGACACCUUGUGACAUCUAAGAACGGAGGAGAACUAUGUACGUCAUAGGACACAAAACCUGAGCUAAGUCCAAACAUAAGACCCAAGGACUCAAUCCUAUAUGGACAGAAUGUUUAAGAGAUAAAGGCCGAUGGCCCAGAACUCUGGAAGGAUAGAAACCCCAAGACCAAGAAGGGAAAUUCGAAGAUGAGACCUGUCCCCCAACCACAGCAUUCAUUUCCAUUUCUUAUAUUUCUAUUUAAGCUGUCUUCGCUUGAGAUGUAAUUUUCAUUGUUGCCAUUCCCCAUAAAGGAAUACAUUUUUAGCUGGAUAGUAUUGUGCAAGGGUCUGUUUUAAACUGGAUCUUAGCCAUUUGUUAAAUUGUUUUUGUUUUACAACUUCCAUUUCUCUUCACAUCUGCUCUACUUGAGACAGAACAAAAUCCAGCCAGUGUAUAUAGCCUGACUUUUGAAACUCCCCUAGGAACAAGCAUGCAUACAGAUACUGUAUUGUCAUCCUCCCUAUCUCAGAAGCCCUGAGCUGACAAGAAAAGGAAAGCAUCAGGUUGUUAGGGGAAAACAAUGUCAGGCUAUCUAGAGAAAAUAUGAGGAGUUGUUCCAGACCAAUGAGAAGAAUUAGACAAGCAAUAAUAUGCAGAUGUGCCAACCCUCCGAGAAGCACCAGCCAGCGGCACCUUCCUUCUUUGGGCUUAGGUGAGAGGGGUAUGGACUUUCUAAUAAUGGUUUGGGGACAAAAUGAGAUCUGAACUCCCUGCUCAUAGUAGUGGCCGAGUAACUUGGUGCAUUUCACCAAAGGAACUCCUGGGUUUAAAAUACCCACCUUUAAGAUUAAUGAUGAAAGUCUCUGAGGACUACUUAAUGGGCUUAAUCUUAUUCGUGCCUUCCUCUUCCUCUGUAAGAGGGAAGUUAAAUGACACACGAUGAAAAAGUAACAUGUUCAUAGCACAUUGGCAAUCAUGCAUAGUUAGUAUCUGAAAGUGUAGAGCUUUUCCUAUAAGGCAUCAGCCUGUAAGUACCUGAAGAUUUGUGGGCCCACCAUGGUCUCAGUUACAUAUUCCUUUUUUUUUUUUUUUUUUUUUAAAAAAAAAAAAAAAAAACCUUUU
RNA transcript from Mus pahari (shrew mouse), 6858 nucleotides. RefSeq lists it as uncharacterized. The transcript is spliced from 8 exons. Lineage: Eukaryota; Metazoa; Chordata; Mammalia; Rodentia; Muridae. The record is from RefSeq and is a predicted model, not a curated record.